This 273-nucleotide ribosomal RNA is filed under the name uncultured bacterium. RNAcentral's name for it is "partial 16S ribosomal RNA". It matches the Rfam family "Bacterial small subunit ribosomal RNA", at positions 524 to 796 of the family's 1533-position model. The record is from RNAcentral.
UACGGAGGGUGCAAGCGUUGUUCGGAAUCACUGGGCGUAAAGGGCGCGCAGGCGGUUCUACAAGUCAGAUGUGAAAGCCCACGGCUCAACCGUGGAAGUGCAUUUGAAACUGUAAGACUUGGGUAUCAGAGGGGAAGGUGGAAUUCCCGGUGUAGAGGUGAAAUUCGUAGAUAUCGGGAGGAAUACCGGUGGCGAAGGCGACUUUCUGGCUGAAUACUGACGCUGAGGCGCGAAAGCGUGGGGAGCAAACAGGAUUAGAAACCCUAGUAGUCC